AAUGAAGAGGAGCCUUACAACUGGUGCAAAGCUGCAGGCUCCUCAGCAAGACUGUGCUACUUACGCUCUCCUAUGACAUCCAACAGACUGCGUUUCAUUUGCUCAGGGUUGUCUGAAGAAGGUGACAUAUUUAACCCAAGCAACAUUAACACUACCACUGUGCUUUGGCUUUAAAAGACAGAGCUACUACAGUUACCUGGACAUGCUGGAGACCCAACCCACUCUUCAGGCAGCCUGUUUGC
Long non-coding RNA from Colius striatus (speckled mousebird), 242 nucleotides. RefSeq lists it as uncharacterized. The record is from RefSeq and is a predicted model, not a curated record. NCBI's taxonomy places the organism in Eukaryota, Metazoa, Chordata, Aves, Coliiformes, Coliidae. The transcript has 3 exons.